CUGUCCCAGACCUGCUGUUUUCAACUCUCUAGAGACAGCAGGAGCGGUAGAGAUACUCUCAAUGAUUGGCUAUGAAAAGACAACUGACAUUUACUCUUGAGGUGCUGACUUGUUACACCCUCGACAACUACUGUGAUUAUUAUUAUUUGACCAUGCUGGUAAUUUAUGAACAUUUGAACAUCUUGGCCAUGUUCUGUUAUAAUCUCCACCCGGCACAGCCAGAAGAGGACUGGCCACCCCUCAUAGCCUGGUUCCUCUCUAGGUUUCUUCCUAGGUUUUGGCCUUUCUAGGGAGUUUUUCCAAGCCACCGUGCUUCUACACCUGCAUUGCUUGCUGUUUGGGGUUUUAGGCUGGGUUUCUGUACAGCACUUUUAGAUAUCAGCUGAUGUAAGAAGGGCUAUAUAAAUACAUUUGAUUUGAUUUGAUUUAGUUCUUGGAAUGCCGUACACCUGAUCAAAGAACCAUACAGAGCAGGAUUGGUAGCCUGAUCAAAGAACCAUACGAGCAGGAUUGGUAGCCUGAUCAAAGAACCAUACAGAGCAGGAUUGGUAGUAAGGAAAAUGGCACUGCGUUCCUCUCAUCGCACAAAGCUUUUGAUCAUUAAAUCAUAUGAUUUAUCUACGAGUGCAUCUAUCCCAGAUUAUUCUAUUCAGAUAUAUUAUGAAUAAAAGGGUUCCUCAUUUGUGAAUCACUUUCUAGUUGGUUGGUGACUCCGAUGCGGUGUCUGGGAAUGGCUGUGUGGCUUUCUGUUCGACUGGAGAUAGUUACUGAGGGUUUCAAAAUCAUACAGAUUGUAAUGUCCCAGUUGUCAUUGUCCCCAAUGCAAUGGUUAGCUUGUUUGCACCAACAUGUUUUCCUUCUUCAUUGUCUAUUCUUUUUGAUGUUCCAAUGCCCACAAAAUGUGUACACCUAUAAACAUAGGAAUUCACAGUCCACUUGGUUCUAAUACAGUUUGAAAUAUUGUAACAUUGCAAGAGUUGGAUUUUGAACUGAAGCAGGAAGAAUCACCACGGGGUUGUAUAGUGAAAAAGGAAUAUUCUGAAACAAACUGUUUCUACCUCUAAUGAUGACAACAAAGCCUGAGCUUCAGGACCUGUGUGAUGUUCAGUUAUAGAGAGAGAGAUAAAGAGAGAGAUCUGCUUUGAUGUAGAGACACAUGAAAGAGUCUCUCCCCACCAGGGUGGGUGUCCCUGUGCCAUACCUCAGGACAGCAAUCAGUAGAAAUCUCUCUCUCUCUCUCUCUCUCUCUCUCUCUCUCUCUCUCUCUCUCUCUCUCUCUCUCUCUCUCUCUCUCUCUCUCUCUCUCUCUCUCUCUCUCUCUCUCAUAUAUUUAAGGGCAUACAUUUCCAAAACAAGGGGAAUAGAUAAUAAACAAAAGUGAAAUAAACAACACAAAUGUUUAUAGUAAACAUUACACUCAAAAAUGUUCCAGAAGAAUAAAGACAUUUCAAAUGUAAUACUAUGUGCAAAUAGUUAAAGUACAAAAGGGAAAUAAAUAAACAUAAAUAUG
This 1510-nucleotide long non-coding RNA is filed under the name Salmo salar (Atlantic salmon). RNAcentral's name for it is "lncRNA (ENSSSAG00000088591.1)". The record is from RNAcentral. Lineage: Eukaryota; Metazoa; Chordata; Actinopteri; Salmoniformes; Salmonidae.